CAGAGGGAAACUGUCUUAAAAAUAAAUAAAUAAAUAAAAAUAAAAAGCAACAUCAAGAGGAGCUUGGAAGUAGUUGCUUCCAGCCCUCAUGGAUGGCUUUGAGGGGCUUAAGACUUCAGUGAAGGACUUCACUGCAGAUGUAGAAAUAGAGAACUAGAAUUAAAAGUGGAACCUGAAGAUGUGACUGAAUUGCUGCAAUCUCAUGAUAGAACUUGAAGAGAUGAGGAGUUGCUUCUUAUGGAUGAGCAAAGAAAGUGGCUCCUUGAGAUGUAAUCUACUCCUGGUGAAGAUGCUAUGAAUGCUGUUGAAAUGACCACAAAGGAUUUAGAAUAUUACUUAAUUGAUAAAGCAGUGGCAGGGUUUGAAAGGAUUGACUCCAAUUUUAAAAGUACUACAUGGGUAAAAUGCUGUCAGACAGCAUCCCAUGCUACAGAGAAAUCUGUGAAAGGAAGAGUCAAUCGAUGUGGCAAACUUUAUUAUUUUAAGAAAUUGCUACGUUUACCUCAGCCUUCACCAAUCACAACCCUGAUUAGCAGUUAUCAACAUCAAGGCAAGACCCUCUACCAGCAAAAAGAUUAUGACCCACUGAAGGCUUAGACAAUCGCUAGCAUUUUUUAAGCAGUAUUUUAAAUUAAGGUAUGUACACUUUUUUAGAUAUAAUGGUAUUGCACACUCAAUAGGCCAUAGUUAUAAAACAUAACUUUUAAAUGCACUGGGAAACCAAAGAAUUUAUGUGACUUGCUUUAUUGUGAUACUCACCUUAUUAUGGUGGCCUGGAACUGAACCCCUAAUAUCCCUGAGAAUGCCUGCAACUUCCAUCUUGUUCCCACCCUCAGUCACAUCUGCUAAGUCCUCCCAAUUGUGCAUUUCCUCUGAAAUAUCUUAAGUAUGCCCUUGUAUGAUUUUAGUUACAUGGAAUAGAAUCACUCUAGCAGAAAAGUAACUGUAGUAUUAGAAUUGUCAUUUUCCUUUUAGUCUGCUUCUGUAGCCUACUAAUUGGUCUUGCAACCCCAGACCUUUUUCAAAUUCAUUUCAACGUAUGUUGCCACUUGAUUAAAUGUAUUUAAAUUGGUCUGAGUUUUUUUGUAAUUUCAUUCUGGUUUUGGUAUAAGGGGCAUGCUUGCCUAAUAGAAUGAGUUGGAAAGUAAUUCCCUCCUCUUCACUUUUCUGAAGGAAUUUGUGUCAAAUUGUUAAGGUAGAAUACCUCAAAAAAGCCAACCUGAGCCUGGAAUAGUCUUUCACACUACAAAUUCAGUGUUAAAACUAGAUUUAGAGUUAUUCAAGCUAUUUAUUCUUAGGGUUUAUUUGUUUUGUUUUGUUUUGUUUUAGAGUUGGGGUCUCACUAUGUGGCCCAGGCUGGUCUCAAACUCCUGAGCUCAAGAGAUCCUCCUCCUUCAGCCUCCUGAGUAGUUGGGACUACAUGCACACAUCCCCAUGCUUGGCCCUUGUUUAUUUAUUCUUAAAUGAGCAUUGAUGUUGUGUAUCUUUAAUGAAAUUUGUCUAUUUUAUCUAAGUUGUCAACUUUAUUGCCAUGAAGUUAUUCAUACUUCCUUACGACCUUUUAAUACAUAUAAGAUCUAUACCGAUGUCCUCUCUCACUCAUAAUAUCGUUAACUUGUGUCUUCCUUCUUUUUAUUCUGAUCAGUCAAGCUAGAGGUUUAUCAAUUUAUUUUCUCAAAUCAGAUUUCACUGUCAUCAAUUUUUCUUUUUUAGUUCACUGAUUUCUGCUCUUCAUUAUUUAUUUUCUUUUUCUUCUUUUGGAUUUAGUUUGCCCUCUUUUUCUAGUUUAAGGUGUGAACAGGAGUCACUGACUUCAGACCUUUCUUUUUUAAUAUAUGUAUUUAGUGCUAUACAUUUCCUUCAAAGCACUACUUUAGCUGUAUUCUAACAAAUUUUGCUGUGUUGUAUUUUCAUUUUCAUUGAGUUCAAAAUACUUCAUAAUUUUCCCUUAGAUUUUGUCUUUGAUCCAUGGGUUAUUGAAAUGUGUGUUAAUUAGUGUCCAAAUAUUUGGGAAUUUUCAAAGAUCUUUCUGUAACUGAUUUCUAACUUAAUUUCAUCAUGGUUAGGACACAUCAUUUGUAUGAUUUAAUUCCUUUGAAAUUGUCUGAGACAUGUUUUAUGGUCCACAAGUAAUCCACUUUGGUGUUUUGCAUGCACUUGAAAAGAAUGUGCCUUGCUUUUGUUGAGUGAAGUAAUCUGUAGUGCCAAUUAGGUCAUGUUCGUUGAUAGUGGUGUUCAAGUCUUCUAUGUACUUAAUAAUUUGCAGUCUGCUUUUUCUGUCAAUUCAAAGUCUUGAAAUUUCCAACUGGAUUGUGGAUUGUUUUAUUUCUUUUAGCUCUGUUUCUUUUUAAUUUUUAAUAUUUGUGGGGUUCAUAGUAGGUGUAUAUAUUUGUGGGGCAUAUGAAAUGUUUUGAUAUAGGCAUACAAUGUGUAAUAAUCACAUCAGAGUAAAUGGGGUAUCCAUCACUUCAAGCAUUUAUCCUUUGUGUUACAAACAAUCCAGAUAUACUCUUUUACUUAUUUAAAAAUGUACAAUUAAAUUAUUAUUGACUAUAGUAACUGUUGUGCUAUCAAAUACUAGAUCUUAUUCAUUCUUUCUAUUUUUUUUGUACCCAUUAACCAUCCCCGCAGUUCCCCUCUACCCACCUGAUUACCCUUCCCAGCCUCUGGUAACCAUCCUUCUACUUUCUGUCUCCAUGAGUUCAAUUGCUUUUAUUUUUAGCUCCCACAAAUAAGUGAGAACAUAUGAAGCUUGUCUUUCUUUUUUCUGAGACUGAGUCUCACUCUGUUGCCCAGGUUGGAGUGCAGUGGUGCAAUCUCGGCUCACUGCAACCUCUGCCUCCCAGGUUGAAGCGAUUCUCCUGCCUCAGCCUCCCGAGUAGCUGGGAUUACAGGCAUUGCCACCAUGCCCAGCUAAUUUUUGUGUUUUUAGUAGAGAUGGAGUUUCACCAUGUUGGUCAGGCUGGCCUUGAACUCCUGAACUCAGGUGAUCCACCUGCCUCAGCCUCCCAAAGUGCUGGGAUUACAGGUGUGAGCCACCACACCAGACCGGAAGCUUGUCUUUCUAUGCCUGACUUAUUUCCCUUAAUAUAAUGACCUCCAGUUCCUUCUAUGUUGUUACAAGUGACAGGAUCUCAUUCUUUUUUAUGGCUGAAUAGUACUCCAUUGUGUAUAUGUACCACAUUUUCUUUAUCCAUUAGUCUCUUGAUGAACAUUUAGGUUGUUUCCAAAUCUUGGCUAUUGUGAAUAAUGCUGCAAUAAACAUGGGAAUGCAGAUAUCUCUUUGAUGUACUGAUUUCUUUUCUUUUGGGUACAUACCUAGCAGUGGGAUUGCUGGAUCGUAUCAUAGCUCUAUUUUUAGGUUUUUUUUUUUUUUUUUUUUUUUUUUUGAUGGAGUCUUGCUCUGUCCCCCAGGCUCGAGUGCAGUGGCAUGAUCUCGGCUCACUGCAACCUCCUCCUCCCAGGUUCAAUUGAUUCUCUUCCCUCAGCCUGUCAAGUAGCUGGGACUACAGGCAAAUGCUACCACGCCUGGCUAGUUUUUGUAUUUUUGCUAGAGACAGAGUUUUGCCAUGUUGGCCAGGCUAGUCUGAAGCUCCUGACCUCAGGUGAUCCGCCUGCCUUGGCCUCCCAAAGUGCUGGGAUUAUAGGCGUGAGCCACUAUUUUUAGUUUUUUGAGGAACCUCCACACUAUUCUCCGUAGUGAUUGUACUAAUUUAAACUUCCACCAGCAGUGUAUGAGGAUUCCCGUUUCUCCACAUCCUUGCAAUUUGUAACUGCCUGUCUUUUGGAUAAAAGCCAUUUUAACUGGGGUGAGAUGAAAUCUCAUUGUAGGUUUGAUUUGCAUUUCUCUGAUGAUCAUUGAUGUUGAGUACUUUCCUUUCUUUCUUUUUUUCUUUUUUAUUACAUCACAGUUCUGUAGCUCAGAGUUAAAGAAGGCUUGCCUGGGUUCUCUGCUUAAGGUCCCACAAGGCUGAAGUCAAGAUGUCAGACAAGGAAAAAAGGAAGGACAGGAACUAGCCUCAAUCCAGCCCAAUUAGCCUUCCCCCAAGUGCAACGAGGCCAAUGACAACCAAUGAUGAAGGCAGUGUUUACAAGGACCAAUCUCUUGACGGAUCAUUUAAAAACUCUUUAAAGAUUCAGGGAAACCACCCAGCCAGAAUGUUGAUAUCAAGACAUGAUGGAUCUACUGUGUCUCCAAGCUUUGGAAUCCCAAAGCCCAAAGAGGAAGUGAGGAGCCCCAGGUCCCACCAUUAGAUCCUCCUGGACCACAGUCACUCGAGGAAGCCUACCCCACACUUACAAAGACAAGACCUCGCCACACAGCAUCUGUCCUCUUCAAGAUCUGCCCCCACCAAGAUGUGUCUCCAGACCAAAACCACAGUCAGAUUGAAGCACAGGCCAGUGCAGAGGAAAUACUGAACACAGAGGAAAAAAUGGCAAGGCCCUAAAUACCGCGGACACAACUUGGGCCCACAGUUAACGAGGAGGAAGGCAGAGCGUGCUGAGCAGAGCACCAAGGAAGAGAGCUCGGCUAGCCGGGAAGGUCCGAAUGGAUUUAUUUGGUGAGGCCAAGGAACCCACUGCCUCCACGGUGUUCCUCCAGGAGGCUCCUCCCUUCACUAAGGCAGCAAGGAGUGCACUGGUGAGGGGAAGGUAGGUAUUUUCCAGAGGCUUGGGGGUGGCUGAAGGCUGGGGCUGACCCUGGGCCAUGUUGCCUCCGAACUGGCCUCCCUAGUGUCAGUGGGUGUGACACCAGUGGGUGCAGUUAAUCCAAUAGGCAGGGGAAACACAACACUGGUUUCUAGUGAUAAGGACGGUAGUGCUUUCUCACUAGACUUGACCUGAAGAAAGUGCUCCUUCUCCCACAGUCCAUCUCUCAGUGAACAAUUUUGCCAUCAGGCAGCAGCUCAGGCCAGAAAACUGCAGCCAGUAGCCCCAAGUCAUGCCCCCACUGCCACCAAGUCCUGCUGUUUGUGAAUGUUACUCACACGUGAGACGU
Molecule: long non-coding RNA, 4999 nt
Organism: Homo sapiens (human)
Lineage: Eukaryota; Metazoa; Chordata; Mammalia; Primates; Hominidae
Exons: 5
Source: RefSeq, a predicted model, not a curated record